GUGGAUAUAGCUCAGUUGGCUAGAGCGCCAGAUUGUGACUCUGGAGGCCGCCGGUUCAAGCCCGGUUAUCCACCCCA
RNAcentral lists this transfer RNA (77 nucleotides) under Clostridia bacterium. RNAcentral describes it as "tRNA-His". It matches the Rfam family "tRNA". Rfam says of the family: Transfer RNA (tRNA) molecules are approximately 80 nucleotides in length. Their secondary structure includes four short double-helical elements and three loops (D, anti-codon, and T loops). The record is from RNAcentral. Lineage: Bacteria; Bacillati; Bacillota; Clostridia.